This 252-nucleotide ribosomal RNA is filed under the name uncultured bacterium. Its description in RNAcentral is "partial 16S ribosomal RNA". It matches the Rfam family "Bacterial small subunit ribosomal RNA", at positions 524 to 776 of the family's 1533-position model. The record is from RNAcentral.
UACGUAGGAGGCGAGCGUUGUCCGGAAUCAUUGGGCGUAAAGAGCGCGCAGGCGGCUUGGCAAGUCGGGUGUGAAAUCCCGGGGCUCAACCCCGUGACUGCAUCCGAUACUGUCAGGCUAGAGGUAGGUAGGGGAGAUCGGAAUUCCUGGUGUAGCGGUGAAAUGCGCAGAUAUCAGGAGGAACACCGGUGGCGAAGGCGGAUCUCUGGGCCUUACUGACGCUGAGGCGCGAAAGCGUGGGGAGCGAACAGG